GAUGAAGGCCUUCGGGUUGUAAACUGCUUUUGUACGGAACGAAAAGGUUUGGCCUAAUAAGCUGAUCUCAUGACGGUACCGUAAGAAUAAGCACCGGCUAACUACGUGCCAGCAGCCGCGGUAAUACGUAGGGUGCGAGCGUUAAUCGGAAUUACUGGGCGUAAAGCGUGCGCAGGCGGUUAUGUAAGACAGAUGUGAAAUCCCCGGGCUCAACCUGGGAACUGCAUUAGUGACUGCAUAACUGGAGUACGGCAGAGGGGGAUGGAAUUCCGCGUGUAGCAGUGAAAUGCGUAGAUAUGCGGAGGAACACCGAUGGCGAAGGCAAUCCCCUGGGCCUGUACUGACGCUCAUGCACGAAAGCGUGGGGAGCAAACAGGAUUAGAUACCCUGGUAGUCCACGCCCUAAACGAUGUCAACUGGUUGUUGGGUCUUCACUGACUCACUAACGAAACUCACGCGUGAAGUUGACCGCCUGGGGAGUACGGCCGCAAGGUUGAAACUCACAGGAAUUGACGGGGACCCGCACAAGCGGUGGAUGAUGUGGUUUAAUUCUAUGCAACGCGAAAAACCUUACCCACCUUUGACAUGUACGGAAGUUACCAGAGAUG
Molecule: ribosomal RNA, 608 nt
Filed under: Curvibacter sp. Se2Pt_1476
Lineage: Bacteria; Pseudomonadati; Pseudomonadota; Betaproteobacteria; Burkholderiales; Comamonadaceae
Description: bacterial SSU rRNA
Rfam family: Bacterial small subunit ribosomal RNA
Source: RNAcentral